RNAcentral lists this ribosomal RNA (522 nucleotides) under uncultured bacterium. RNAcentral describes it as "bacterial SSU rRNA". It matches the Rfam family "Bacterial small subunit ribosomal RNA", at positions 988 to 1509 of the family's 1533-position model. The record is from RNAcentral.
CCAGAGAACUUAGCAGAGAUGCUUUGGUGCCCUUCGGGAACUCUGAGACAGGUGCUGCAUGGCUGUCGUCAGCUCGUGUUGUGAAAUGUUGGGUUAAGUCCCGCAACGAGCGCAACCCUUAUCCUUUGUUGCCAGCGGCUCGGCCGGGAACUCAAAGGAGACUGCCGGUGAUAAACCGGAGGAAGGUGGGGAUGACGUCAAGUCAUCAUGGCCCUUACGGCCAGGGCUACACACGUGCUACAAUGGCGCAUACAAAGAGAAGCGACCUCGCGAGAGCAAGCGGACCUCAUAAAGUGCGUCGUAGUCCGGAUUGGAGUCUGCAACUCGACUCCAUGAAGUCGGAAUCGCUAGUAAUCGUAGAUCAGAAUGCUACGGUGAAUACGUUCCCGGGCCUUGUACACACCGCCCGUCACACCAUGGGAGUGGGUUGCAAAAGAAGUAGGUAGCUUAACCUUCGGGAGGGCGCUUACCACUUUGUGAUUCAUGACUGGGGUGAAGUCGUAACAAGGUAGGCGUAGCGAG